Molecule: long non-coding RNA, 6954 nt
Organism: Astatotilapia calliptera (eastern happy)
Lineage: Eukaryota; Metazoa; Chordata; Actinopteri; Cichliformes; Cichlidae
Source: Ensembl
ACUGCACAUGAAAAUGGCUAUGCAAAACUGAAUUUCCCAUGAAACAUCGUUAGAAUCAGCAUGCUGCUCCUACAGUACUCACGAAGACAGCCCAAGGAGGUUGGCUAUUUCUUUGCUUCAAGGGAGCAGAAAACCAACCUAGAAACUAGACAUGAUGAAAAGUAUGUGGCUGGAAACAUACUUUUGGGGUUUGGGUAAUAUUUGAAAUUAUUGAGAAUAUUUGAGGCCUUCCGUGCUCUGCCACAAUAAAUUAACCAAACAUCACCUGUUAUUAAGUGUUAGUUGGAUCCGAUGCGUUUCCUUGGCCUGUAAAUUGAGCAUGGCCGGAUCGACAAGAUAUUUAUGUGGCUUUCAUAAGAGCCAGCUCAGAGCUGCUAUUGGCUGUUACUAUUCUGUGGGUAAAUCAUGGCGUGCUUGUUAUCUGGUUACCACUGGUUUUGAAAGGAAAUGAGUGUUUGAGGCAGUUGUGAUAAAGAGUGAGGCUUAGGUGCAGUGUUGUCUUUGCUGUCUGGAUGGUUACAGGUUUAUUAAUGUUUUCUGUAUAAAUCUGGCUUUCAUCUCGCAGCCGUUCUGUAUGAUUUUUGUUGGUUUUUUUUUUUUUACUUUAUUUUAAAGGCAAUCGUCAUAUUAGGUAACAUGGUAACCAAAGUACAUUUUACAACAUAUAUAAUUUAUACAGCUCUUAUCUAACUGCUGAUGAUACUACCCUACCCAACUCAUAGUACCAUCCCCACAGCUAUGACCUCAGCACAUAAGAGAUAGAUCCUUUCGAGGUCUUGCUGGACCCUUUAUCAAAAUUUGGGAAAUACUUAAUGAAUGACACGAUUAUACUCAUUAGUGGCACUUUCGAGUUAAAAUAGUGCAUGGCGGCUGCUAUCAUGAAUGACACAAGUCCUAAUCGGCACUAAUCGCGCUUGAUAACGAAGAGCAUGCACCCGAAAUGUUCGCAAUACUUAACAGAGAGAUACAGACAAAAAGCCCACUAAUUAGCGCGGAAAGUCAUGUGAAUGCCAGCACAGCAACGUACCUAGCAGUCAGUCCGCCUCCCUUCAUUUGAGAGAAGAGACCGCCUACCAAUAAAAACCGAACCUUCUCUCCCAAUCCAGACAAAGGGGACGACGGAUCCGCGGCGGCGCGCACUGAGCCUGAGCAUCUCAGCACCUUGGAUUGAUCCGACGCGCAAGAACGCACCGGCACACACGCGAGCACGCCCUCCAGAUCUACCUGAAACCUCCACGCCAGUUAAUUGUCAUUGUUGAAGGGCGAGAAAAGGGAGAUUGAACCCCGAUUUUAUUCGCAGCCUCGCCGUGUUCCCAUGAUGUCAUACCUGUGGAUUCUGCUAUUAGGAAGCCUGCUGGCUACGCACGCCAAGGCACAAGAUGAUAUAAUCCCAACAGUAGAGCCAUCUAUUGAAACUCCCACAUCUAAAGCAGAUGUAGAGGUCAUCGACCAGCAUAACCUUGGGGAGGUGGUCACUGCAACUGAGGAAGUAUUGCAGCCUGAGCCCACUGCUGACCCUGAGGCUGAAUUAAUCCAAGAAGCAAAUGCUGCAGAUGUAAGCACAGAGCCAGUGCCUACAGAUGCUCCUGCAGGGGAGGAGGGUCAAUCAGCGAGUCCUACGACUGGAGAAACAGAACCAGUUAUUUCUGACGCGCCUACAACUACACAAGCUGCUGAUUCUGAGGAUGACACUCCAGAAGCUACGCAAACAGCAGUUAAUGAGGAGGCGCAACCCACCACAAAUGCGAAUACAACACCUGCUCAAGACGAGAGUGGACUUCAUGACAUCAUAACAACAGUAGGUCUAGAAGCCAAUGAGGAGGCACCAACUGAUCCAUCUGCUAAUGAAGAGUCAUCCACAGAUGAUUUCACAACCACAGAUGAAACUGUCACUAUAAAUCCAGGGUUUAACAUUGAGAAGACGUCAAUUGCAGAGCAGGAAACACAUGUGUUAAACCAGGAAACUCCCGUGAAGAGCAGGAUGGGACCACGGCAGAAUUCAGCACCUCUGUCAAACGACGAAAAUAAAAGCGAAGAUGUGCCUGCUUUGGGUGCCUCAGGGAGUGAUGCAGAUCAACAGCCCCAAAAGGCCAGCUCAAGCUCUUUAGCAGCAAUCCUUAGUGCGAUUGUUGUGUCUGCAGUGGGAGCAAUCGCUGGAUACUUCACCUAUCAACAGAAGAAGCUGUGCUUCAAAAAUAGACAGGAAGCAGACCCUGAGGCUCCACACAAAGCUGAUGCAGCAGAGGCUCGGUCAGAUCCCCAGGUUCUUAGCAACCUUCUGAACUCCUCCUAGACCUGAAACGAUCACCUUACCGCCCGGGCCAACUACAGUCUAACAAAGUGGCAGUCUCACUGUUCGGCUCUGUCCUCUGUAGAGCUAAAUUACUGUGAGGCCCCAGAGUAGGGCUGCGUGUUUCAGUCUGAAUUUCUAUGUCUGUAUGUUGCUCUACACGAGCUUGCGUGGAUGUGUCUCAGUGUGCGUGUGAAUAAUAUCCGUUCAUUCUUGUGUGUGCAUAAAUGUGGAAAGAAGGAGCUAGAAAAAGAUCAUGUGAUCUUUAGGGCUUUCAUUAUUGUUAAAAAAAUGUAUUAAAAUAAUUGGUCAAACACUCUACUUUAAACCAAAUUAUUAUAAUUUUUUUCAGAGUGGCCAUUAAAGAGAUUUAAUCUCAAUUUACGUAUAACCAUAAAAUGGAUUAAUUAUAUACCUACCUUUUAAUUUUAUUUAUAUGGCUACUAUUAAUUCAAUGUAAAUACAAAACAGUAACUGAAAUCGAUGUUGUAGGUGUUUAACUUGUAAUUGUUUCUUUGGAAUUUUAUACAAUUUUGCCAUUGUUGAACUGCCCGUAUGAUUUUAAAUCAUUUAGAUAAGACAUUUCUUUUUCAAUUAUCUAUAGUACAGAUGCAGGUUAACUGGAUAACAGGGGGACACAGUAGCAAGCAUUUUGUGGAGUCUGGUUAGGAGCUGUGGUAAAGGAUUUAAAGACGAGUAUUCUUGGGAUGCGUGGUCAAAUGUGUUUAGAUGACCACCGAUGUCACUGAAUGUGUGUGCUUGUUUUCUGAUAGGUGAAGGGGCUUGAUUUAAAAUCCUGUUAAGUGACCGUUUCUCCUCGGUCGGUUGAAUACAUUAAAAGAUGACACAAAUCAAAUACAGCCUAAGAUUCAAGUCAUAUUAAUUUAGGAAAUACCAAAAACAAGCCAACAAAAAUAUAUUGUGUAAACUUACUAAAGUACGAUGAAGUAAAGUCUAAUCCUGACAUGGACAAAUUCAAUGGAGGUCAUGUAGUAAUGUAUUAGACUUUGUUCUGAUGUAGUAUGUGUGUAGUUGUGAAGCAGUCUUUUUUUUUUUCUCUAUAGUGCCUUUCACUGACACAGCCUGGCUUGAGCAAUCUACAGACACACAGAGAAGAUAUACAGGGUGACAAAUUAAAGGAUGGUUUAUGCUGCAGGGAGAUUUUUUUGUUGCUGUUUCAAAUUUCAAAUUUCUGAGCUAUUCUAAAUUUAAAACAUUUCACUUUGAUGGCUGAAGUCUCUUACAAGAUGAAAAUACACCCAUCCAAAUUGCCUGUUUAAUUGCUUGGUAAGAAUGAAAAUAAUGGGAUCCAUAAACUAUGGACUUAUCAGUCUGAGAUCUCCCCCCAGGUCUCCAACAACGUUAUCAAAAUACAUAAUGAGGGAAUAUUUUUUCAGAAGAAUAUUGUUUUAUUCCUCCAAUAGUUCCAGAGACAUGAACUGGCUUAACACUUUAAACACCCUUAAUGCUGGGUCAACCUUUAACUUUUUACCCAUCUGUUACUGAGAAGACAAGCAAACCAGUAGGAGGCUAUAACAAUGAAAGAGUGUUCUGUAUUCAUUCUUAAUCUGUCAUUUACGCAAUUACAUUUUUUAAAAUUAAACUGCUCAUGCAUGUAAAAUAAUAACACAAACAUAACAGCUGCUGUAUGUGUGUCCACAGUCGGGCCGUUUACAGUCUUAGUUAUUUUAGCUAAUCUUGCAAUCUAAACUCUUUCAACCACCUCCGCUGGUGGCAGAUGUAAAACUCUUCUCAUUGUGUGUCUCUUUAUUUGAGCAAGCCAGCUGCUGUAACAGUGUAUUUUUAUUGUUCAUGUAUCCACAUUACAAACGCCAUUCACUUGUGAUUUUUUUAUAGGAAUCCUUUACAUUUAGCAGCCAUGCCUCGGAGCCGACAGAUUGUCUUUAGUCAACUUGUUUGCUGUGCUAUUUUGUUAAUAUUAUUGUAAAAUGCAAAGAAUGCAGCGCUACGGCUUUUUUCCAAAUGUAGCACACACACAAAAAAAUCGUAACUUCUGAAUGUCUUUUUUGUUGCCUUGAAGUUUUGUACUUGCCCUGCUCCCUUUAAACUUUGAUAUAUGGCUAUAGAGGCUGCAUAGUGCUGCAGGUCAUGUAAUGUGUGUUACUUGUAAAGCACCAUAUAGCUGCAAUACAGGACAGAGACUGUUGCUAACAGCCUAGCCUCAAGCUGAGAAAUGUUAAUAAUCUGUGAUCAAUUCCACUCUACAAACUGUGGGUCAGACGCAGUGUCAGCGAUCUGCCUUCUUAACCUGUAAUCUGUGACAGACAAAAGCUGUUUUCUCUUGUAACACUGAACUACGUAGAUAGUGUAUCAGGAGUGACAAUGCACAAAAAAUACCCACUCAAUAAUAAUAAUACAAAUAGGACUAGCCACCGAUGCCUUCAAAAUACAAAUUUUUUCUUUAAAUGCAGUACUGCCCUGCAGUGAACAAAAGCACUGAAAUGUCCUGCGAUGCUCUUUUAGAUAACUUCCUGUAAUGGAGACUCGUACAAUAAUCCAGAAAAAUUCGAUAUGCGUUGCUUGCACUGAGGACAUCAUGGUCAACAAUACAUUUUGCCGAAACACUCUCGGUCAAUAAUUCAGUCUUAUUUAUAUUAUAUCAAUUCACAACUACAGUCACCUCAUGGUGCUUGAUCCCAGCAAUACAAAGUAUCAGAACACAGCAUUCAAACUAGAAUGUAAACCUUGAGUGUUGUAAACUCAUUGGGUCCUGAAGUGCACUUGCCACAUAACACUAGGGCAUCAAUCAUGGCACUGACCAGUCCUGCCUUAUUCCUUAUAUGCUCUUGAAUAUUCCUGAUAGGAAAACAAACAAUAAUGUCAUCAUAAAAAAACGACACAGCGACACAAGCAGAGAUUUUUUUUGUAAUCUCAAUGGGAGAAGCACGUUCCUAUCCUGUAUACAUCUUGAUUUACUACACAUAUAUAGACAAUUCAUUUGUUCUUCUUCUGACUUCCUGUUUAUUUAAAUAUUCUGUGUGGUUUUUGUGUAGGAACUGUCCUUUUUAUUUUUGUCAUCUGGCACUUGUGUUCUUCUGGAGUUGUGUAAAUAAUGUUUGAGGAAUCAAUUAAACAGUUUUUGUGGGAUUUCUUUUUCUUUCAUUUUUAGCCACUGUUGAUAGACCAGUUCAUCACUUUGGUAUACAUCAAAAACUCUUCAGUGAUGUAAUGGAUUAUUGUAGAACGGACAUUCAAGGUCACCAGAAGAUUAAUUGAAUUAGCACCAUCUAAAGUUAUUGUAGUUUGACAAUUACUUUGGUUUAUGCCAAAAUACAUUAGUAUUUAGAUUUCCCAUUAGUCAAAGCAGUGUUUGUUUUUAUUGCUAAUUCUAAAAUGUAUGUUUUGUUUGUUAAUGUGCUCAAAUCUAAUGGCAAACAUGUAGACUGGCCACUUCAUCUGGUACACCUGUUAACACAAAUUUCUAAUCAGCCAAUCACAUGCUGGAAACUUAAUUUAUUUAGGAAUAUAGACAUGGUCAACAUGACAUGCUAAAAUUCAGAGUGUCAGAAUGUAAAAGAAAGGUGAUUUAAGAUACCCUUUUGGUGUCAGACAGUCUUGUCUGAGCAUUUCAGAAACUCAGAAACACCGCAACCAUCUCUAGGGUUUACAGAGAAUGGUCCAAAAAAAGAGAAAAGUUCCAAUCAGCAGCAGUUCUCUGAGUGAAGAUGCAUUAUUGAUGUCAGAGAUCAUAGGAGAAUUGCCAGAUUGCUUUGAGGUAAUAGGAAGGCAACAGUAACUCAGAUAACCACUUGUUACAACCAAGCCACACAGAAGAGCAUCUCCAAAAGUGCAAUUUAUCUGCAAUUUAACAGCAGAAAAACACACUAGGCGUUGCUGCUGUCAGCUAACAACAGUAAAGUGAAGCUAGGAUUCAUGUAAGCUCACCAAAACUGGACAAUGAAAACUGAAACUGAAAACAUGGAUCUAUCCUGUCUUCUAACAACUGUUCAAGCCAAAUGGUGGUGUUAUAACGAAUAUAAUAUUUCCUUGGCACAGUUUCAGCCCUUAAUACCUACUGAGAAUCACUGAAAUCCCACAGCCUGCCGCAGUAUUGUUGCUGACCAUGUCCAUCCCUUUAUAACUAGUGUAUACAUCUUCUGAUGGCUGCUUCCUGCAAGGUAACAAAUCAUUUCACAAAGUUCAGAUCAUCAGAAACUAGUUUCUUGAACAUGACAAUAAGUUCAAUGUACUCAAAUGGCCUCCACAGUCACCAGAUCGCAAUCCAAUACAGCACAUUUGGCAUGUGGUGGAACGGCAGAUUGUUGUCAUGGAUGUGCACCCAACAAAUCUGCAGCAACGGCAUGAUUUUAUCAUAUCAGUACGGACAAAAAUCUCUGAGGAAUGUUUCCAGCAUUUUGUUGAAUUGAUACCACAAAGAAUUAAGGCAGCUAUGAAGGCAAAAGGGGGUCCAACUAGUAGUAGGGUGUACCUAAUGAAGUGGGCAGGGAGUGCAAUUCUGUAUGGUAAACACCAAUGCCCUAUGGGUCUUAUGAGCAUGUGGUUGUGACCAAUGAGUAAGCUUCAAUUACUGUUAUUUUACCAUACAUACGAUAUAAAUACAGUAAAAGUUAUUCUAUUUUGUGUUUGUGGCUUUUUGUGUAUGUGAUCUGUCGAAAAGUUAAUAAAGUUCAGUGAGAAAAAAA